RNAcentral lists this ribosomal RNA (427 nucleotides) under uncultured prokaryote. RNAcentral's name for it is "bacterial SSU rRNA". It matches the Rfam family "Bacterial small subunit ribosomal RNA", at positions 355 to 774 of the family's 1533-position model. The record is from RNAcentral. RNAcentral also lists the same sequence under 1 other name.
UGGGGAAUAUUGCACAAUGGGGGAAACCCUGAUGCAGCCAUGCCGCGUGUGUGAAGAAGGCCUUCGGGUUGUAAAGCACUUUCAGCGAGGAGGAAAGGGGUGAUGCUAAUACCAUCAUCCUGUGACGUUACUCGCAGAAGAAGCACCGGCUAACUCCGUGCCAGCAGCCGCGGUAAUACGGAGGGUGCAAGCGUUAAUCGGAAUUACUGGGCGUAAAGCGCACGCAGGCGGUUGGAUAAGUCAGAUGUGAAAGCCCCGGGCUCAACCUGGGAACUGCAUUUGAAACUGUUCGACUAGAGUCUUGUAGAGGGGGGUAGAAUUCCAGGUGUAGCGGUGAAAUGCGUAGAGAUCUGGAGGAAUACCGGUGGCGAAGGCGGCCCCCUGGACAAAGACUGACGCUCAGGUGCGAAAGCGUGGGGAGCAAACA